GAAGUAGGGGGAGAGCGUUGUCCGGAAUCAGGGGGCGUAAAGAGCGUGUAGGCGGCUCGGUAAGUCCGCUGUAAAAGUCAAAGGCUCAACCUUUGAAUGUCAGUGGAUACUGCCGGGCUAGAGUCCGGAAGAGGCGAGUGGAACUCCUGGUGUAGCGGUGGAAUGCGCAGAUAUCAGGAAGACCACCACCGGCGAAUGCCGCUCGCUGGGCCGCUCCUGACGCUGAGGCGCUCCAUCUUGGGGAGCAAACAGG
RNAcentral lists this ribosomal RNA (253 nucleotides) under uncultured bacterium. RNAcentral describes it as "partial 16S ribosomal RNA". It matches the Rfam family "Bacterial small subunit ribosomal RNA", at positions 524 to 776 of the family's 1533-position model. The record is from RNAcentral.